GAACCACCAGCCACUGAUAGAGCAAAGAGCUGCAACCCAGCUAGCAAGCUCGGUGCUCAGUACUAGUAGUAGUUUCUCGUCGUGCAAUAAGAGCCACAAUAUCCAGAGCAUUGUAAGGCUCAAGAAGGUACUUAGAAGAAGCCUUGGCAUGUAUGUACGCAUACACUGGCACAAGGUUUCUUGAAGGCAGGAGAAGCUCUGGAGGCUAAUCGCAUGAAGAUCUGUAUGGCCGAAGAGCAAAGACUGGUACACAAAGGUCAGCCAAUUAUUCACGGAGAGACAAUGCCCACGUGAACAAAGCAAAGAUUUGAUAGAUUGCAGAAGAUUGAAGUUUGUCGGGGCACUAUCUCUCGCUCUUAUCCAUCGCCUAGAGGGACACACAUGCAUCCCUACUAUAUAUAAGAUAAAGAGGUGCAUUCUCCCGGAAGCCAUCCAGAGAGCUGCUCUCUCGCCUAUAAAAGGAGACAUUUGCUGCGAAAAGAGACACAACACCAGACGGAGAAGAACCACCAGCCACUGAUAGAGCAAAGAGCUGCAAUCCAGCUAGCAAGCUCAUUGCUCAAUAGUAGUAGUAGUAGUUUCUCAUCGUGCAAUAAGAGCCACAAUAUCCAGAGCAUUGUAAGGCUCAACAAUGUAGUUAGAAGGUAAUUUUCUUUAGCUUGUGUAAUCCCUUCGGGGCCUCCCGAAAGGGAAAGCCAUAUGUAAAUUAUGUUGUGGAAAUGAUGUAGUUUCUUGGUUUCA
Molecule: long non-coding RNA, 741 nt
Organism: Triticum aestivum (bread wheat)
Lineage: Eukaryota; Viridiplantae; Streptophyta; Magnoliopsida; Poales; Poaceae
Exons: 2
Source: RefSeq, a predicted model, not a curated record